This 1128-nucleotide long non-coding RNA is filed under the name Equus asinus (donkey). Its description in RNAcentral is "lncRNA (ENSEASG00005031893.1)". Lineage: Eukaryota; Metazoa; Chordata; Mammalia; Perissodactyla; Equidae. The record is from RNAcentral.
GAAGGGGGUGUGUCCUUCUGUGAUGAGACUCAACAGGUAACAGGCUGAGCUGUCACAAUGCCCAAAGCUGAGGCUGACGCCAGAGCAGAAGACCCCAAGGCAGCUGAAGAGGACCUACCUGGCACUGGAGCGAGGUGUAACUGACAAUGCCAGGAGCUUGGCCCACGCCAGGAGAGCAGAGCACCAUCCACUCCAAACGGAGUGGCUGGGACAGCUGGGUGACUACAUGCUGGGCCAUCCCAUAGGCUGAGAGAGAGGAGGGGCAGAGCAGAGGACUAGAAGAAGACAAGUAAAACCUCAGGCUAGUCAUUCCAGAGGUGGUGGCUUGAGAGAAAGAGAGAAGAAAAAGAGAGAGAGGGAGAUCAAAAAGUCUGAAGCAGGCAGCUGUUAGUAUUUGUCCAGCAGCUCAUGAGGUCCAGAGCUAGUAUGGCUGUGAUUCUCUUGGCCUCUCCUUCAUGGCUGCAAGAUGGCAGCUCCUAUUCCAGGCAUCAUGCCCAGUCAGGGCAGGAAGAAAGGGGAAGGCCAGAGCCAGCUGCAGCUGUCCCUUCAUAGAAGAAAAGCAAAAGCUUUCCCCAAAACCCUCCACCCCCAGCUGAAUUCUACCCAGAUCUUAUUGGCCAGAUUGGAUCACAUGGUCACCCCUACUUGCAAGGGAGGUUGGGAAAGUGAUCCAUUAGUUUUGCUGGUCUCUAUAGCCCAGGCAGGUGAGGGAGCGUGAGUUGGGAGUGAAUAUAGGGCUGCUAUUUCUGGGAGAGUGGUCUUGAGUCCUGAAUUAACUCCCUAUUCUGCCUUUAUUUUUUAUUUUCAUGUAUCUAACACUCCUUGGUUUUGAAGCUGGGUGGGACAGUUAAAAAGAACUACGAGCUGGAAAUGAGUAAAGCUUUUUUUGCAAGACUGCCCUAAGGAAAUAAGUGUCAGCUGUUUUAACAUCCAUGCCCUGAUGGCUCAGCUUGGCUCUGCUCAGUUAUCAGAUGCCAACUCCAGAUGAGGCCUGCGCUGCCAAGUGUCUUGUCUCCUCCUGUCUGGAAGGGAACAGAUCAGUCUCACCUUCAUCAAGACCGAUACCUCAUUUGAGCUGUGUGAUUCCAUAUGAGGUCAGAAUACCUUGUGGCCACAGCUUCACCAGAG